This 2656-nucleotide ribosomal RNA is filed under the name Olea europaea subsp. europaea. RNAcentral describes it as "LSU_rRNA_bacteria". It matches the Rfam family "Eukaryotic large subunit ribosomal RNA", at positions 464 to 3189 of the family's 3401-position model. The record is from RNAcentral. Lineage: Eukaryota; Viridiplantae; Streptophyta; Magnoliopsida; Lamiales; Oleaceae.
GUUCGAUAUCCUACGAUCGACUCGGAGCGUGGACCAGCAAGAAUCGAGGUGACCACCAAAGCUCGGGUAGUCAACACGCUCGCAAAAUUCCAUCGUCCCAAUUGUGGUGGUAGCUCAUGCCCUUGGUGUGCCACUACACCUAUGCACUCCCGGUGCUGGCCUACGUGCUCUCCAUUCGACCCAUCUUGAAACAUAGACCAAGGAGUCUAACAUGUGUACGAGUCAAUGGAUGAGUAAACCCUAAGGCUCAAGGAAGCUAAUUGGCGUGAUCUCCCUGAGGGGUGCAACGUCGAUUGACCUAGAUCUUUUGAGAAGGGUUUGAGUGCAAGCAUACCUAUUGGGACCCAAAAGAUGGUAAAAUGUGCCUGAGCGGGGUGAAGCCAAAGGAAACUCUGGUGGAGACCUGCAGUGAUACUGACGUGCAAAUCGUUUGUCUGACUUGGGUAUAGGGGCGAAAGACUAAUCGAACCAUCGAGUAGCUGGUUCUCUUCGAAGUUUUCUUCAGGAUAGCUGGAGCUUAGGUGCGAGUUCUAUAGGGUAAAACCAAUGAUUAGAGGCAUCGGAGACACAAUGUCCUCGAUCUAUUCUCAAACUAUAAAUAGGUAGGACAGCAUGACUACUUCGUUGAGCUGUGCCAUGAAAUUGAGAGCUUCAAGUAGGCCAUUUUUGUUAAGCUAAACUGGCAAUGCAUUUUUAAUCGAAAGCCGGGUUACGAUGGCUAAUUGCAUGCUAACCUAGAUCCCAUAAAGAGUGUUGGUUAAUUAAAACAGAAGAAUGGUGGUCAUAGAAGUUGAAAUCUGCUGAGGAGUGUGUAACAACUUACCUACUGAAUCAACUAGCCCCAAAAUUGUAUGGUGCUGAAGUCCGUUACCUCAGACACAAAACCUUGGGCAUGAGCCCGGGCAGAGUGUUUGUUGUUGCGAAUCUUUGUGGUAGUAUCAAAUAUUCAAAUGGGAACUUUAAAGGCCGAAGAGGGGAAAGGUUCCAUGUGAGCAACACUUGCACAUGGGUUAGUCGAUCCUAAAGGUCAGGGAAAGCUCGAUAGAUAGCGCAUUUCACGCGUGCAUCGAAAGAAAAUUGGGUUAAAAUUCCUGAACAAGGACAUGACGGUUGACGGCAACGUUAGGGAGUCCGGAGACGUCGACGGAGACCUCGGAAAGAGUUAUCCUUUUUGUUUAAAAACAUGUCCACUCAGUAAAUUGCUCAGUCGGAGGUAGGGUCCAGUAGCUGGAAGACCACUGCACGUCUCAUGGUGUCUGGUGCAUCCCCGACGACCCUUGAAAAUUUGGAGGAUUGAGUAUCGUCCGCACCCGAUCGUACUCAUAACAGUAUCAGGUUUCCAAGGUGAACAACCUUUGAUCAAUGGAACAAUGUAGGCAAAGAAAGUUGGCAAAAUGGAUUCGUAACUUUGAGAAAAGGAUUGGCUCUGAGGGCUGGGCAUGGGGGUCCCAGUCCCAAACCCAUUGGCUGUCGACGGACUGUUCAAUCUACUCCUACAACGAGAGUAGGUCACCACAUGAUGGCUGAGGAACGAACUAGGGAUGCGUCCUUUCGGGGCUUCCUCGGGCAUCGAACAGUCAACUCAGAACUAAUAUAAGCAAGGAAAAUCUGACUGUUUAAUUAAAACAAAGCAUUCCAAGGUCCCUAUGAAUGCUCACGUAAUGUGAUUUCUGCCCAAUGCUCUGAAUGUCAAAGUGAAGAAAUUCAACCAAGUACAGGUAAAUGAUGAGAGUAACUAUAACUCUCUUACGGUAGCCAAAUGUCUCAUCAUCUAAUUAGUGACGCGCAUAAAUGGAUUAACGAGACUCCUAUUGUCCCUAUUUACUAUCCAGCGAAACCACAGCCAAGUGAACGAGCGUGGCAGAUUCAGCGGGAAAAGAAGACCCUGUUGAGCUUGAAUCUAGUUCGACUUUAUAAAAUGACUUGGGAGUGUAGGAUAAGUGGGAGUCGAAAGCCGAAAGUGAAAGACCACUACUUUUAAUGUUAUUUUACUUAUUCCAUGAAUCGGAGGUGGGGCACUGCCCCUCUUUUUGGACCCAAGGCUCACUUCACGGGCUGAUCCGGGUGGAAGACAUUGUCAGGUGGGGAGUUUGACUGGGGCAGUACAUCUGUUAAAAGAUAACAUAGGUGUCCUAAGAUUAGCUCAACGAGAACAGAAAUCUCGUAUGGAACAGAAGGAUAAAAGCUUGUUUCAUUCUGAUUUCCAGUAUGAAUAUGAACCGUGAAAGCAUGGCCUAACGAUCCUUUAGACCUUCAAAAUUUGAAGCUAGAGGUGUUAGAAAAGUUACCUCAAUGAUAACUGGCUUGUGACAACCAAGCAUUCAUAGCGACAUUGCUUUUUGAUCCUUCGAUGUCGGCUCUUCCUGUCAUUGUGAAGUAAAAUUCACGAAGUGUUGGAUUGUUCACCCAUCAAUAGGGAACGUGAGCUAGAUUAUGACUAAAUGCCUGACAGGUUAGUUUUAUACUACUAAUGAUAGUGUCACUAUAGUAAUUCAACCUAGUACGAGAGGAACCAUUGAGUCUCACAAUUGGUAAUCGCUCUUGGUUGAAACGCUAGUGGCGUGAAGCUACCGUGCGCUGGAUUAUAACUGAACGACUCUAAGUUUGAAUCCAGGAUAGAAGCAAUGUACAUACUCACCGUCCACUUGUCGACCCA